AGAAUCAACGCUGGCGGCGUGCCUCAGACAUGCAAGUCGAACGAUUAAAGCUCUCUUCGGAGAGUGUAUAGAGUGGCGCACGGGUGAGUAACACGUAAGUAAUCUACCCUCGAGUGGGGGAAUAACGUCCGGAAACGGACGCUAAUACCGCAUAAUGCAGCGGCACCGCAAGGUGACAGUUGUAAAGAUUUAUCGCUUGAGGUAGGAGCUUGCGGUCAGAUUAGCUAGUUGGUAAGGUAAGUAGGCUUACCAAGGCUACGAUCUGUAACCGGUCUUAGAGGACGGUCGGUCGACACUGACACUGAAUAACGGUCAGGACUCCUACGGGAGGCAGCGAGUCGGGAAUUUUGGGCAAGUGGGACGAAAGCCUAGACCCAGGCAACGCCGCGUCGAAGGACUGGAAGUAUUUCGG
Molecule: ribosomal RNA, 412 nt
Filed under: uncultured soil bacterium
Lineage: Bacteria
Description: bacterial SSU rRNA
Rfam family: Bacterial small subunit ribosomal RNA
Source: RNAcentral